UGGGGAAUAUUGCACAAUGGGGGAAACCCUGAUGCAGCGACGCCGCGUGAACGAAGAAGGUAUUCGUAUCGUAAAGUUCUGUCCUAUGGGAAGAUAAUUACAGUACCAUAGAAGAAAGCUCCGGCUAAAUACGUGCCAGCAGCCGCGGUAAUACGUAUGGAGCGAGCGUUUUCCGGAAUUAUUGGGCGUAAAGGGUACGCAGGCGGUUUAAUAAGUCGAAUGUUAAAGAUCGGGGCUCAACCCCGCAAAGCAUUGGAAACUGAUAAACUUGAGUAGUGGAGAGGAAAGUGGAAUUCCUAGUGUAGUGGUGAAAUACGUAGAUAUUAGGAGGAAUACCAGUAGCGAAGGCGACUUUCUGGACACAAACUGACGCUGAGGUACGAAAGCGUGGGGAGCAAACAGG
RNAcentral lists this ribosomal RNA (403 nucleotides) under bacterium. RNAcentral describes it as "partial 16S ribosomal RNA". It matches the Rfam family "Bacterial small subunit ribosomal RNA", at positions 355 to 776 of the family's 1533-position model. The record is from RNAcentral.